This 492-nucleotide ribosomal RNA is filed under the name uncultured bacterium. Its description in RNAcentral is "partial 16S ribosomal RNA". It matches the Rfam family "Bacterial small subunit ribosomal RNA", at positions 28 to 507 of the family's 1533-position model. The record is from RNAcentral.
GAUGAACGCUAGCUACAGGCUUAACACAUGCAAGUCGAGGGGAAACGACAUCGAAAGCUUGCUUUUGAUGGGCGUCGACCGGCGCACGGGUGAGUAACGCGUAUCCAACCUGCCCACCACUUGGGGAUAACCUUGCGAAAGUAAGACUAAUACCCAAUGAUAUCUCUAGAAGACAUCUGAAAGAGAUUAAAGAUUUAUCGGUGAUGGAUGGGGAUGCGUCUGAUUAGCUUGUUGGCGGGGUAACGGCCCACCAAGGCAACGAUCAGUAGGGGUUCUGAGAGGAAGGUCCCCUACAUUGGAGCUGAGACACGGUCCAAACUCCUACGGGAGGCAGCAGUGAGGAAUAUUGGGCAAGGGAGGAGAGUCUGACCCAGCCAAGUAGCGUGCAGGAAGACGGGCAUAUGGGUUGUAAACUGCUUUUAAAAGGGAAUAAAGUGAGUCUCGUGAGACUUUUUGCAGGUACCUUAUGAAUAAGGACCGGCUAAUUCCGUG